UUUUUUUUUUUUUUUUUUUUUUUUUUUGUCUUUUUGUACUUUUAAGACCUCACCAGCAGCAUAUGGAGGUUCCCAGGCUAGGCAUCUAAUCGGAGCUGUGGCUGCCAGCCUAUGCCAGAGCCAUAGCAACACCAGAUCCGAGCCUCAUCGUCAACCUACACCACAGCUCAUGGCAACACCAGAUCCUUAACCCACUGAGUGAGGCCAGGAUUGGAACCCGUAACCUCACAGUUCCUAGUUGGAUUCAUUUCUGCUGCGCCAUGAUGGGUUAGCACUUUUUAAAGUAUUUUUAGAAAAAAAUACAUAGUGUGAUAAAGCAGUAAAAUCUCAAUUAAACAUUAAUGGCAAGCCUAGAGACCUUGUACAGUGAAAUGUUUUUUCUCGAAAAAAAAAAAAAUCAAUUGUUAUUUUGUCCCUCGUAUUCAAUCUGCUUUCAUUUUAGCUCUUUCUGCCUCGCCAACCCACCCCCGACCCCUACCCCUGCCUUGCCUCUUUCCCCUCAAUCUCUUGUUCUUUUUCUCUAAUCUUAUAUUGCUCAUUGCACUUUUGAGAAAAGUUAUUUUACCACUCCUUUCUCCAAGGAACGCUUUCCUCAGAGAAAGUCACAUGAUACCUUCUUCCUUUUAUUCUUCCCUUCUUGUUCCCCAUCCAUGUCCCCACCACCUCAGAACUUCUAGUUCCCACGACAAUUUCAAAUAUAGCCUAUUUUGCUGUUCCUCCUACCAGGGAGCUUAAAAUGCCUCUAAUUACACCGUUUUCCCCAUCUCUCCUCUUCUUUGUAAUUUAGAUGCAGCACAGCAGUUCAGUUUGCCUGACUCUCCUCUCUGAUUUGUCAUGUUAGUUUGAUGGGUUUCUGUCUUAUGUGAGUCUUGCCCCUAAAUAAAGGCCCAGCACCCCCAUCUGUGUUUAAAAAAACCGCUUCACAGGCAAAACCAAAGGGCCACAGAGCUCCAGUCACAAUAGGCUUUGAUAUUCAACCAGACCCAGGUUGCUAUUCAACUCUUGGUUGAUAAAGAAAUUUCAGUCUUAUUUACCUAAAAAUUUUCCUUCUGCUGAUAAGAAUGCAAGUACUUAUUUCCACCUGGAUGUGCCCACAAACGAAAAGUAAUAUAAUCCUAUGGUUUAACCAUUUCCAUUGGUCCAGAGUAGUUUCCUUCAAAAAGAGUGGGAUCUCAGCAAAUCCACUGUGAAGUUGUGGUGAGAAAAGAACAAUAAACAUAUGUGGCAGGACAGUAUUUUGAACAUUAACUGAUACCCCCUCUUUCCUAUCUAUUCUUUCCUGUUAUCUCUACCCCUCCCCAUACCCUUUCCCUUUAGGCUACUAAUUAUUUCGCUUUUAUUACUCAAGGAAAAAAAAUGAAAGAAAGCACAGAAUUGAUUCCUGAUAUUUUUACAUUUCAAAAGAGACUUCAAAACUGUAAGCAGGGGAGAGUUUAAGAGAAAAGUCUACUGAAGGCAAAAGAUUAAGCUUUUGAAAUGUCAAAGCCAAUGCCUGGAAAAGACUCAAGACUCGGAUAGUGUACAGAAUGUUAGAGUCAGACUCUUCUGUUUCCUGCGACUAGGAAGGGUCUGGAUCCAGGAGAGCCAGUGAGGAAGCUAGCAGUGAGCAGACUUCAGGGUUUCAGAGACAGUGGUCUGGUCUGUGAGGUAUACAUCUUGCCAGAGAGCACAGGGGAUGGUGAGUCCCACAAGCUGAGGGUAAGGCAAUGAGAUCCCAGAGUUCUCAUCCCCUGCCAGCAAGAAGCAGAAGCAGAAGCAGAAGGCAUGUCUGGGAGAGAACUGGGGUAGCUGGGCCCAAGGUACCUCCAGGGCAUAAUUCUAGGGACGUAGUGGGAAGAGAAAAAUCUUUGUUCUCCCUGUGUGUGUGCCUCUCUCUGUAUCCAAAUUUUCCCUUUUAAUAAGAAUAGCAGGGAGUUCCCAUUGUGGCUCAGCAGGAACACCAGACAUACCAGAUUAGUGCCUGUGCUAAGGGUCUCAUUUUAACUUUUUUUCUUUUUAGGGCCACACCCACAGCAUAUGGAAGUUCCCAGGCUAAAAGUUGAAUUGGAGUUGCAGGUGCUGGCCUACACCACAGCCACAGCAACGCCAGAUCUGACCUGCAUCUGCGACCUAUACCACACCUCAAAGCAAUGCCAGAUCCUUCAAUGCAAUGAGCGAAGCCAGGAAUCAAACCUGCAUCCUCAUGAAUGCUUGGUGGGUUCUUAACCUGCUGAGCCGCAAUGGGAACUCCAAACAUAUCUUUUUGAGAAGGACACAAUUCAACCCACAAAAGCCCGUUUACACAGAUUAGCUCACUAUGUGCUUUUGAACUCCCACCAACCCAUUUCUUGCCUCUGAUACCUUCUGGUGGAAUCUGUGGUCAUGAAAACAUCUGGUAAUCUCAUUCACAGUAAGGUAUAACUGACCAAAAUUGUCUAUGUUUAUUUAUAAAGUACAAUGGUCCAAAAUGAUAUAAAGUAACAGUAAGAAAUGGAUAAAAUUUACUAUGUUGUCCCUUUAGGAAGUAUCUACAUUUUAGUAAAUCACAAGGAAUUAUACCACUUCCUCAAUAACAUAUAACAUAUUUGUUAGGAACUGUAAUCAUAGCAAUACAUAGGAUAAUCAGUAAAAACUUGCUCAGUAACACUUGCUUUUUAUUAUAAUUAACAUAAAAACUGCAUUUUCUAUUAAUGGCAAUGUAGGGCUGAAUUCCAUGUUUUAAUGCAAUGAUGUGCACUCAUAAUUCCCUACUGAUGAUUACUGUAAAUUUCUUCAACACCAAAAAGAAAUACAAACACUCCUAAACAAACUGCAAACUUGAUAGCUACUGCCACACUAUCUACUUCAUAAUUGGUUCAAAGCCUAUGAAAUUAGCAAGAUAUUUGAACCACUCAAACCAACAAUGGCUUUAAAGCCAAUCCCCUCCAAAACUGCAUUUAGGAGCCAUUUUUGCAGUCAGUAAAGGAUUUAUUUUUUUAAACUCAAGAAAGCUGGAGUUCCUAUCAUGCCUCAGCAGAAACAAAUCUGACUAGUAUCCAUGAGGACGCAGGUUCGAUCCCUGGCCUUACUCACCGGGUUAAGGAUCUGGGAUCAAACCCGCAACCUCAUGGUUCCUAGUCAGAUUCGUUAACCACUGUGCCACGAUGGGAACUCCAAUAGCUACAAUUUUAAAGAAACACUUAAAUCAGACUGACACUAAGAGAGGAAAACUUGACUUCUAUGUGUUGUACUCUAAAAUACCAUCAAUUCUCAUUAUUAGUAGUAGUUAUACUCUAUAAAGUUGCUACAAACACUGAAUUAGUGAAUACUGAACCACUAUUCCUAGGGGAAAUACAGGGUUAGGUUCCUAUGAGCCUCAGGUCACAAAAUUUUUAUCAACUGAACCCAUAAUCUUGUGUCAUGUGUGUUUCUGAUUAAAGACACAUUAUUCAAUGUGUUCUUCUUUUGGAGGCGGGGAGGAGAAGCUCACAUCCAUGGCAUGUGGAAGUUCCCGGGCCAGGGGUUCAUGCCACAGCAGCAACCCAAGCCACUGUAGUGACAAUGCAGGAUCCUUAACCCACCACACCAUAAGAGAACUCCUAAAGACAUAUUAUUCAGUGUAUAUCAUUGACUAACAUUGAACUCACAGCCCACAACACUAUAAUUUAUGCCUGAGAGAAGCUUCUCUAACACUGUAUUUUGUCCUUAAGGCAUAUCACAGCCCUCUUAUUCUUAGGAGUGGUAGAUAUCACUUCAGCACUAUCUUUGAGGGGCAUUUUUAAAUUGCUUUUAUUUUUUUUGGUUUUUUUAGGGCCACUCCUGCGGCAUAUGGAAGUUCCCAUGUUAGCGGUCUGUCGGAGCUGCCUCAGUAACAUGGAAUCCAAGCCGCAUCUGCUACCUACACCACAGCUUAUAUCAAUACCUGAUCCUUAACCCAUUGAGUGGGGCCAGGGACUGAACCCAAGUCCUCAUAGAUACCAUUUGGAUUUGUUACUGCUGAGCCACAAUGGGAACUCACAGGGGCCAUUUUAAAUAGCAAAAAUCACCCAUUAAAAGCACAGAAAUGUGAAACAUGUAGCAUUAAAUAGAUCACAAAAAGGACUCUUGUUCAUAGCAUGAGACCUGAAAUAAGAAGGCCAAGUGUCAUCUUGUUUGACCUCACCUGGGAACGUGUACAAUCAGCAACUCAAAUUUUUUUGUCCCUCUACUCAUAUCUGGGAAUGACUAGGAAAAUGUCAUGGAUAUCUAUUUGGGGAUGAUAAGUAAAUCAUUAGCAGGUAGGAGAAUUCACAAAUACGAAGCUUGAAUAAUGAGGCACUUUGACCUGACUUCCAUUGCCAAUAAAUAAAUAAAUAAAUAAAUAAGAUUUUAUUUGCCUAAAAAAAUAGAUUAUUUACAUUUAAAGUGAAUAUUUGUAAUGUGAGGUCUCAUAGAGUGCCAGAUAAGUAUAAUUAAUAUGCAAGUCUUACUGAUUCUGAAUGACUCCAGGCAAAGGGGCUGCAUUUCUGUGGGCCUCAGCUAUUUGUUCAUAAACUGAGAGUCUUAGACUACAAAUAUGCAUAUAUCAUAUUCAUAUAAAUACAGAUAUUUUAAAGCUAUUUUUAGAACUCACACAGUAUACACAUUUGAAUGUGCUUAAUAUCAGGAAAAUAGAUAAGACAUAAUACUCUGGACAGAUAAAGGACAGUGAUGCUAUGGGAGAGGUUUUCUUUUACACACUUUUUGAGUUUUGAACCAUGAAAGCAUAUUAGCUAUUUAAAAAAAAAACAUUAAAAAGAAAUAGAAGAAAGAGAAUAAAAAUUAAAUUUUGAGAAGAAGAAGAAAGAAGGAGAAAAGAAAGAAGGAAGGAAAAAAGAAGACUCCUGAUAGGCAAUUCAUGUUCUGUAUGGCAGAGAGGGCAGAUAUUUUAAGCUUAGGUUGUACUACGACCAUUAGGCCAUAGGGUUUUAUUUAUAUACAUUUUAAUAAAUCAUGUACUUAUGAUUUACCAAACACCAGGGACAGUGCUACAAUAUUAUCUUAUUUAGUUUUUUCCUAUAUCUGUGAAGUAGGUAUUAAGUUGAAUCAUAUGAAAUAGCUGAUACUCAACAAUUUUUGACCUACAAAAGUGUUGUUUCAUAUGUUAAAUCUAAUAUUAACAUACCCAUUUUAAUGAUGAGGAACUCAAGGUUCACAAAGGCUGAGUCAUUGCCCAGUGGUGCACACAGCCUGCAAGAGAGACUCCUGACUUUAACCCAGAUCUCCUUUUCCCUCCGAGUAGCAGAUACCAUUUCAGGCCAUAAAAGUAAAUGUACAAGAAGUGCUUAGUUUUCUUUAUAUACAUAUGCAACCUUAAAUACCACCACAUGGUCAAUGUUUGACUGUGAAGAUGAAGACAGUGAGGAAGAUGCUGCUUCUGAAAACCAAGGAACAGAGAUUAAUAACAAGUCACAGGAAACUAGGAGAGGGGCCUGGAAUGGCUCCUCCCCUCACAGUCUCAGCAGGAAGCAGACUGGCCAGUACCUUGAUCUCGGACUUCUAGUCUCCAGAACUGGGAAACCAUUUCUUUUUUUCUUUUUAGGGCUGCACCCUCAGCAUAUGUAAAUUCCCAGGCUAGGGAAUCAAUAGGAGCUACAGCUGACAGCCUAUGCCACAGUUAUAGCAAUGUGGGAUCUGAGCUAAGUCUGUGAUCUACACCACAGCUCAUAGGAAUGCCAGAUCCUUAAACCACUGGUGAGGCCAGGGAUCAAACCCACAGCCUUAUAGUUAUUAGUCAGGUUCGUUUCCACUGUGCCACAAGGGGAACUCUGGGAGACCAUUUCUGUUAUAAGCCCCCUAGUCCUUUGGUCCUCUAUUACAGUGGUGCUAGGAAUCUAACACAUGCCUAUCACUGGCUGAAGAAUGAAACUAGUCCCCCUUGUGACUUCUACUUCUGCUCUAUUCCAACAAAACUGGAAAAUAAUUUACUUAGAAGGUAGACAUAAUAAACUGAAUCUCACCCAAGGUCCUGAAACUGUAGCUGUGACCUUUCCCAGAGUACAAAACUCUUGAUUCUGAAAUCUAUCUUCAAGGAUGGGUAACUAGGAGUGACCAUCUCAGCCACUAACAACUGUGCUAGACUCUUCUAUGCAAUAAGUGUGACUGCUUUUGUGUUGUGGAAAGAUUAAAUUAAUGCAGGGAGAGAGUUUCUGUGGGGAGAGCAGAUGUUAUUUAAUGUUAGCAGAGUUAAAUGUAUUCUG
This 6176-nucleotide long non-coding RNA is filed under the name Sus scrofa (pig). RNAcentral describes it as "lncRNA (ENSSSCG00025020532.1, ENSSSCG00045024333.1)". Lineage: Eukaryota; Metazoa; Chordata; Mammalia; Artiodactyla; Suidae. The record is from RNAcentral.